AUUGAACGCUGGCGGCAGGCCUAACACAUGCAAGUCGAGCGGAUGAAGGGAGCUUGCUCCUGGAUUCAGCGGCGGCCGGGUGAGUAAUGCCUAGGAAUCUGCCUGGUAGUGGGGGAUAACGUCCGGAAACGGGCGCUAAUACCGCAUACGUCCUGAGGGAGAAAGUGGGGGAUCUUCGGACCUCACGCUAUCAGAUGAGCCUAGGUCGGAUUAGCUAGUUGGUGGGGUAAAGGCCUACCAAGGCGACGAUCCGUAACUGGUCUGAGAGGAUGAUCAGUCACACUGUAACUGAGACACGGUCCAGACUCCUACGGGAGGCAGCAGUGGGGAAUAUUGGACGAUGGGCGAAAGCCUGAUCCAGCCAUGCCGCGUGUGUGAAGAAGGUCUUCUGAUUGUAAAGCACUUUAAGUUGGGAGGAAGGGCAGUAAGUUAAUACCUUGCUGUUUUGACGUUACCAACAGAAUAAGCACCGGCUAACUUCGUG
This 484-nucleotide ribosomal RNA is filed under the name uncultured bacterium. RNAcentral describes it as "partial 16S ribosomal RNA". It matches the Rfam family "Bacterial small subunit ribosomal RNA", at positions 30 to 507 of the family's 1533-position model. The record is from RNAcentral.